GGGGCUGUAGCUCAGUGGUAGAGCACUCGCCUUGCGCGUGUGAGGUACUGGGUUCGAUCCUCAGCACCACA
RNAcentral lists this transfer RNA (71 nucleotides) under Marmota monax (woodchuck). RNAcentral describes it as "tRNA.Ala". It matches the Rfam family "tRNA". Rfam says of the family: Transfer RNA (tRNA) molecules are approximately 80 nucleotides in length. Their secondary structure includes four short double-helical elements and three loops (D, anti-codon, and T loops). Lineage: Eukaryota; Metazoa; Chordata; Mammalia; Rodentia; Sciuridae. The record is from RNAcentral.